AGAACGAACGCUGGCGGCAGGCCUAACACAUGCAAGUCGAACGCCCGUAGCAAUACGGGAGUGGCAGACGGGUGAGUAACGCGUGGGAACGUGCCCUUCGGUUCGGAAUAACUCAGGGAAACUUGAGCUAAUACCGGAUACGUCCGUAAGGAGAAAGAUUUAUUGCCGAAGGAUCGGCCCGCGUCGGAUUAGCUAGUUGGUGGGGUAAUGGCCCACCAAGGCGACGAUCCGUAGCUGGUCUGAGAGGAUGAUCAGCCACACGGGCGUAGAGACGACGGACCCGACGAACUCCGUACCGGGAGGGCGAGCAGGUAGGGGAAGUAUUGGACGAAUAGGGACGGAAACGACC
Molecule: ribosomal RNA, 349 nt
Filed under: uncultured soil bacterium
Lineage: Bacteria
Description: bacterial SSU rRNA
Rfam family: Bacterial small subunit ribosomal RNA
Source: RNAcentral